GAUGAAGAACGUAGCGAAAUGCGAUAAGUAAUGUGAAUUGCAGAAUUCAGUGAAUCAUCGAAUCUUUGAACGCACAUUGCGCCCGCUAGUAUUCUGGCGGGCAUGCCUGUCCGAGCGUCAUUUCAACCCUCAAGCCCCCGGGCUUGGUGUUGGGGAUCGGCGAGCCUCCGCGCCCGCCGUCCCCUAAAUCUAGUGGCGGUCUCGCUGUAGCUUCCUCCGCGUAGUAGCACACCUCGCACUGGGAAACAGCGCGGCCACGCCGUUAAACCCCCAACUUCUGAACGUUUGACCUCGGAUCAGGUAGGAAUACCCGCUGAACUUAAGCAUAUCAAUAAGCGGAGGA
RNAcentral lists this unclassified non-coding RNA (343 nucleotides) under soil metagenome. Its description in RNAcentral is "partial contains 5.8S ribosomal RNA, internal transcribed spacer 2, and large subunit ribosomal RNA". The stretch from base 1 to 120 matches the Rfam family "5.8S ribosomal RNA", at positions 35 to 154 of the family's 154-position model. The record is from RNAcentral.